This 596-nucleotide ribosomal RNA is filed under the name bacterium HGBA3. Its description in RNAcentral is "bacterial SSU rRNA". It matches the Rfam family "Bacterial small subunit ribosomal RNA", at positions 141 to 751 of the family's 1533-position model. The record is from RNAcentral.
GGACAGCAUUUAAAAAUGAAUGCUAAUACCUGAUAUUAUGAUUUUAAGGCAUCUUACAAUUAUGAAAGCUAUAGGCACUGCGACAGAGCUUUGCGUCCCAUUAGCUACUUGUAAACGUAGCAGCUCACCAAAGCCAUGAUGGGAAGCCGGCCUGACACGUUGAACCGCCACCACGGGACUGACACCCACCCCUUACUCCUACGGGAAGCAUCACUGGGGAAUAUUGGACCAUGUACCGAGACUCUGAUCCAGCAAUUCUGGGCGCACGAUCAAAUUUUUCUGAAUGCAAAGAGCUUUCUGAUGGGACUAAAUAAAUGACCCCACCAUCACAACAAGUGACCGCUAAAUACAUGCCAUCAGCCGCUAUAAUACUCAUGUCACAAUCGUUAUCCGGAUUUAUUGGGCGUACAGCCCGUCUAGGUGGGUAUGUAUACCUGAUGUCAAAAUGCAGGUCUCAACUCUGUAUUGCUUUAGAAACUGAAUAACUAGAGUACUGCAUAGGUAAGCGGAACUACGCGUGUAUAUGAGAAAUUCCUACAUAUUUGUAGGAAUGUCUAUGGACAAUCCCUCUUACUGAACAGAUACUGACGCUAAAG